This 465-nucleotide ribosomal RNA is filed under the name Vreelandella stevensii. RNAcentral's name for it is "partial 16S ribosomal RNA". It matches the Rfam family "Bacterial small subunit ribosomal RNA", at positions 338 to 795 of the family's 1533-position model. The record is from RNAcentral. Lineage: Bacteria; Pseudomonadati; Pseudomonadota; Gammaproteobacteria; Oceanospirillales; Halomonadaceae.
CCUACGGGAGGCUGCAGUGGGGAAUAUUGGACAAUGGGGGCAACCCUGAUCCAGCCAUGCCGCGUGUGUGAAGAAGGCCCUCGGGUUGUAAAGCACUUUCAGUGAGGAAGAACGCCUGGUGGUUAAUACCCAUCAGGAAAGACAUCACUCACAGAAGAAGCACCGGCUAACUCCGUGCCAGCAGCCGCGGUAAUACGGAGGGUGCGAGCGUUAAUCGGAAUUACUGGGCGUAAAGCGCGCGUAGGUGGCUUGAUAAGCCGGUUGUGAAAGCCCCGGGCUCAACCUGGGAACGGCAUCCGGAACUGUCAAGCUAGAGUGCAGGAGAGGAAGGUGGAAUUCCCGGUGUAGCGGUGAAAUGCGUAGAGAUCGGGAGGAAUACCAGUGGCGAAGGCGGCCUUCUGGACUGACACUGACACUGAGGUGCGAAAGCGUGGGUAGCAAACAGGAUUAGAUACCCGUGUAGUC